AAAUACCCUUGCAAGAUGUAGAAAAAAAUUGAGGUUGUGUUUCUGCUCUUUUUCCAAUAGUGCUCUUUAUAAAAUUGAAUUUUGAUUGGAAGGUGUGUCUUAACUAACAAUUACAAUGAAUAAUAAAUUGUUUGGCUAUUGAAAAUUACAGAUGAUAAAAUGAAAUAUUAUGUGAAAUCUUAUGAAGAGAAUGAUAAGUCAAAUGCAGAAAUUAUAAUGAUAAAUUUUCAAUUUUAUUUUGAAAUACUGUGUAAAAUUUCAGCAUAAGCAAAUUUCAAGCUCACGUUUUGUUUAAAUCAAAAUCUUAUCUAAUUUAUAUAGUUUUAUAUGCACAUGUACACUAAAUGAGUUAAGAUUUAUAUCCAUUUCCCACAUGUAGGGGUCAAAAUUAGUCAUUAUUGAGCAAUCAUUAUACAAUGUUUGCCUUGCCAUGUGAAUUCUACAUAAAGAAUCUUUGCAAAAAGGUAAACACUUUUAGAUUGUUUAGCAGAUCAAUUGAAAUAAUUUUAUCAUGAAUCUCAAAAUAUAAGCUACUACAUCAUAUACAUAUACACUAGAUUUGAAAAUACCAUUGAAAUGUCAUUGUCUGAUACAAGGUUACUGAAAUAGGUUGAUUAUAAUGUUAAUUACAUGUACUGUAAAAUCAGAAAUUAUUGCGAGGUUUUUAUUAUUGCAAAAAAUGCAACAGAGUUGUAAACGCAUUUUGAAAUAUUCUGUAUGAAUUCACAUGAUUUUUCACAAAAUCUUGAAAAUUUAAAUCGCAUUUAAGUCUAAAAUGACAAAAUGGCAAUAAUGAAUUACCGCAAUAAUUUCUGAAUUUACAGUACUUGUUAUGAUGUAGAAUAUUAACAAUGUAUACACUUUUGGUUGAAAGCUUUAUAGUAGAUUGAAUUGUUGAUAAUGAAUCUCUUAGGUCUUGUCUGUGACAGUCUUUGAAGCAAUACUAAAGACUGCUCUUACCUCAGGUUGUGUAGUCAACAAUUUUUAAACUUACUGUUUUUUAUCUGAGAUUAACCAUCAUUUGCUAUACAGUUGUAUAAGUUAUUGGCAUAUAUCGUAACCUCUUAGUGAUGUAAAAGUUUAUGAUAGGGAUCAAUCUAUUUUUAUACCUACUGCAUGAUAUACUGUGGAUUCAUUAUUAUUCGUUGGAUACCAAUUUUCGUGGAUUUCAUGGUAACCUUGUAAACGUGAGUUUCAAUGUCCAACGAAUUACAAAUUCUAUAUAUAAAAGUAUGCAGACUUUGGCAAAGCCUUGAAAUCAAAUACCCACGAAAAUGAAAAUUUUCAUCAAUCAACGACAACGAAAAUUGGUACCCACGAAAAUAAAUGAAUCUACAGUACAUGUUUAUUGUUUCCAGCACAUGAAUAACUAAGACCCUUUUCAUCAGGAGAUACAUUGUUUCAUGCAUUAUCUGAAAUGUACAGGUGUUCAUACAUGUACUUUGUUGCCAAUUGAAUUUGAACAUUUGUAGUAUCAAAAUUAAUCACGUGCAAGACAUACUCUGUAUGAACAGUUUAUGUAUAUGUAUAAUCAAAGAAGAUGUGAUAAUCUGAAAACAUGUAUCUGGUGAUGUAAUAUUUUGUUUAUAUUAAACAUGGAUAUCUAUAAUAUCACUGAUUUGUAUUUGUAAAAAGUCCAGAUUUACAAUUUCAAGCAUCAAUUCAACUUCUGAAUUUCAUUUAUUUGUUAAUUUCCUUUUCAACCUGCUUAAUGAUAUGUAUUAUUUGUCGGAGCUCCUUUUACUUUUGUACUCAUAAAUGGGAUCUGACAUUUUUUAUGCCCCAGCCAUAGUGAAUGGGACAUUCAGUUUCACCCUUGUUUGUAUGUACAUACAUACAUCCCAAUGUUGGUUUCCAUUCUCUGACUUUAGAUUGCCUCAACCAAAUGUUAUGAAUCUUAUAUGCAAUGUUUAUUACCACUAAAUACAGAUCAAUUGUGAAUUUUGGUGUGUCACUUUUACUAUUCUAUUCUAGAGUUAU
This 1980-nucleotide long non-coding RNA is filed under the name Mytilus galloprovincialis (Mediterranean mussel). The record is from RNAcentral. Lineage: Eukaryota; Metazoa; Mollusca; Bivalvia; Mytilida; Mytilidae.